GUGGAGACGGCGUCUUAGGAUUUUUAAUUUUUUGUGUUUAUAAUCGCGAAAAUUGGCGAUUUCGUUUUGUUUUUGCGAAGCCCGCCUCCUCCUGUCGGUUGCGUUAGAUGUUGAUCAGCAGUUGGCUGUGGUCAAGUAGGUUUUAGCGUCAGUUCUUGUAGGCGCUCGUCAGUCUGAGUUUUGAGAGAGUAUGGAGGCAGAUAGAAGUGCGCUUUUCCAUCAGAUAAAGAUGUCGUUUUACUAGAUAUAAGUAUUUGUAAGUUUAAUUGGAUGUAUCCAUGUCAAGAUUGUUGUCUCUUCCUUGAGUAAUUAUUGCCAAUAAAAUGUCGAUUUUCUUUUCUAAA
Molecule: long non-coding RNA, 344 nt
Organism: Drosophila sechellia
Lineage: Eukaryota; Metazoa; Arthropoda; Insecta; Diptera; Drosophilidae
Exons: 2
Source: RefSeq, a predicted model, not a curated record